This 497-nucleotide ribosomal RNA is filed under the name uncultured bacterium. RNAcentral describes it as "partial 16S ribosomal RNA". It matches the Rfam family "Bacterial small subunit ribosomal RNA", at positions 28 to 507 of the family's 1533-position model. The record is from RNAcentral.
GAUGAACGCUGGCGGCGUGCCUAAUACAUGCAAGUCGAGCGAACAGACGAGGAGCUUGCUCCUCCGACGUUAGCGGCGGACGGGUGAGUAACACGUAGAUAACCUACCUAUAAGACUGGGAUAACUUCGGGAAACCGGAGCUAAUACCGGAUAAUAUAUUGAACCGCAUGGUUCAAUAGUGAAAGACGGUUUUGCUAUCACUUAUAGAUGGAUCUGCGCCGCAUUAGCUAGUUGGUAAGGUAACGGCUUACCAAGGCAACGAUACGUAGCCGACCUGAGAGGGUGAUCGGCCACACUGGAACUGAGACACGGUCCAGACUCCUACGGGAGGCAGCAGUAGGGAAUCUUCCGCAAUGGGCGAAAGCCUGACGGAGCAACGCCGCGUGAGUGAUGAAGGUCUUCGGAUCGUAAAACUCUGUUAUUAGGGAAGAACAAAUGUGUAAGUAACUAUGCACGUCUUGACGGUACCUAAUCAGAAAGCCACGGCUAACUACGUG